This 97-nucleotide non-coding RNA is filed under the name Terrisporobacter mayombei. RNAcentral's name for it is "ZMP-ZTP". It matches the Rfam family "ZMP/ZTP riboswitch aptamer (pfl RNA motif)". Rfam says of the family: Previously known as pfl RNA. ZMP is also known as AICAR. Lineage: Bacteria; Bacillati; Bacillota; Clostridia; Peptostreptococcales; Peptostreptococcaceae. The record is from RNAcentral.
UAUUAGAUACACAACUGACGGAAACAGGUGUUACCUGAGUAGGAUUACCUACAGGGAGUGUAUUAAUAAGGAUUAGUCGACCGUCUGGGCAGCAUUA